Long non-coding RNA from Hemicordylus capensis (graceful crag lizard), 1620 nucleotides. RefSeq lists it as uncharacterized. The record is from RefSeq and is a predicted model, not a curated record. Lineage: Eukaryota; Metazoa; Chordata; Lepidosauria; Squamata; Cordylidae. The transcript is spliced from 6 exons.
CAGCCAGGAAGGAGGAGGCAGCCAGAGUGGCCACCACUGUUCUCGGCAGCAGAAGACCCCUUGCUGCCCUGCCGAACCCAGCCCAGCAUUUGCCAGUUCUCCAUCAUCAACAAGAAGAAGAAGUCGAAUUGUCACUUUUUUCCUGGCUGGGCUUCUGGACCACUACUCAACAAGCAGAAAACAAACAGUUCAUGCUGUGCUUUUGCAGGCAGCAGUGGAAGCAGCUUGGGAAGCGCUAGACCUCUUCCUGGAGAUUGGUUCUGUCCAGCUACCAGCCCUGCUCCCUUGUUCCAGAGGGACUCCACUUCAAGUGCUGCUUCUUCCACCCUUUGCAAAAGCCUGCCAUACCCUACAAAGGCACCUGCUGUUGCCACCACCAAACAUCAAUCAAGAAAAUGUGGAUGGCUCCAAUGAACUGAGAAAGCAUUACAACCAUCACCCCAGGAUAAUGAAUUAAGGAAUCGUCUGAAGUGAAGGGAAACAAUUCUCCCCUUGAAAAUGAUGGAGUGAGUGUUGAUGUGCAAGAGCUGCUCUCUCAACAUUACAAUUAAGGGGAAGAAAACAAUUUCAGUACUGAGAUUGACAAAAUGAAUUUCAACACACAGACACAUCCUCCAGAACAGGGACUUCUGGGGCACACAUUCCUGAGAUUCUCUGGAAAUGAAGAGGGACAUCUGGAUUAAGUUGAAACUGGCUGAACCUCAAAUCCUGAAUAUGAUAUAAGAAGCAGGGGUGUCAGUAUAAUUGAGCGGAUGGGUUCAAAGAACCCAGGGGGGCCCAGCUCCUGAGAGGCCCCCCCAGCUCCACUCCUCCCUAUUUUUUUCAUUAUCUCCCUCGCUCUGAGGGUCCACCAGGGAAAGGGACGAACACAGGCCCCCUCUCCCUUAGCUACACCCCUGGAAGAAGAAAUACUUUCUAUAGCUAAAGGGAAAGUGGGCCCAUUUCAUAAAAUGUCUAGGUAAUAUGUACAGGUGUACAGAGAGCAACCCCAGUUCCAUUUAUUUUGAUGGACGAGUAUGUGAAAUGAAAUUAUUUUGCUUGCUUGUUUUUGCUCCCUUAGUAGAAGCAUGUCUGUAAUAAGUCCUUAUCUUUUUAAAAAUCAAAAAUCCAGUCUCUGCUAAAUAAAACACACCAAUUUCCCACACUACCCUAUGGAGAAAGAAGGGGAGAGGGGGAAACGUUCUGUGUUGCAAUUCUGUUGUAAAUUCUAUGUUGCUUCAGCCCAGUGGCUUCCCAAGGGAUUCCCAGUACCCACUGCCUUCAUGCCCACAGACAGGUUGGGGAAGUAUUCCCAGGGGAGGAAUCCUAAAAGGGCAAGGGAGACUCAUUCCUAGACUCAUUACGGGUAAGUAAAAUGUGCAGGGUAAUUUAAUCCGCAACACCUAUAUUUCCCUGCUGGUGGCAGUGAUUGCAAGCUUCAGUGGAAAAAAUGACAGGAAAAAAUAAGGAACAAUGGAGACCCUCAUUGAGGUCUAGAAACUUCAGCCUGCCUGGAAUUUCCCUCACCAGGUAAAAUUGUAUGUAUGUAGCCCAUUUUACAACACUGAGUAGUUUAUAAUUGGAGAUUAAAAAGCCUUCCUGGUAUGUCUGAAAUCUAGCAGCAUCAAGAGUCUUAUUUCA